CUGACUACGGGCAUGCGGCCGAGGUAGUAAGUAGGGGUGGAUCGUUAAUCGGAAUUACUGGGCGGAAAGCUGGUGGAGGUGGCUCAUGAAGUCACAGGUGAAAUCCCCGGGCGUAACCUGGGAACUGCAUGUGAUACUGGUGGUGCUAGAAUAUGUGAGAGGGAAGUAGAAUUCCAGGUGUAGCGGUGAAAUGCGUAGAGAUCUGGAGGAAUACCGAUGGCGAAGGCAGCUUCCUGGCAUAAUAUUGACACUGAGAUUCGAAAGCGUGGGUAGCAAACAGGAUUAGAUACCCUUGUAGUC
This 300-nucleotide ribosomal RNA is filed under the name uncultured Vulcanisaeta sp. Its description in RNAcentral is "bacterial SSU rRNA". It matches the Rfam family "Bacterial small subunit ribosomal RNA", at positions 497 to 795 of the family's 1533-position model. Lineage: Archaea; Thermoproteati; Thermoproteota; Thermoprotei; Thermoproteales; Thermoproteaceae. The record is from RNAcentral.